RNAcentral lists this long non-coding RNA (342 nucleotides) under Ananas comosus (pineapple). RNAcentral describes it as "long non-coding RNA (ACOM_LNC011919)". The record is from RNAcentral. Lineage: Eukaryota; Viridiplantae; Streptophyta; Magnoliopsida; Poales; Bromeliaceae.
UUCUAUAUAUGAAAAGGUUUUAGAUUUAGAUUAAGUGUAUGGAGUUUCAAAGGGUUUUGUUUUCUAGUUAUAUGUUUAGAAGAGUAUUUGUGAUAGAUUUAUGAGUUUAGAGGGGUGUUAAUGCUAUUUUAUAUUUGUGAAGGGGCAUCUAUGAUAUUUUAGAGUUUUGGAGGAUUAUAUUUGAAAUUGCUUCUUUGUAAAUUUUUUUCUCCAAUUAAAAUCAGAUUUUAUAAAAUAUUUUUGUUCCUCCAAUUUCUUUUAUAAUUCUUCCUCUAAAAUUUAUUUUUUAAAAUAUAUUUUUAUUUAAAAAGGUAAUAUAAUUUUUUUCCUUAAAUUUAUGUG